Mycena leptocephala is the source of this 85-nucleotide non-coding RNA. NCBI's taxonomy places the organism in Eukaryota, Fungi, Basidiomycota, Agaricomycetes, Agaricales, Mycenaceae. The record is from the annotation of a GenBank genome assembly.
GACCCCUUAGUUCAGUGGUAGAGCGUCGCAUUCCAGUCGUUUCUAAACUUCGCGAAGGUCGUCCGUUCAAUCCGGGCAGGGGUCA